Molecule: ribosomal RNA, 840 nt
Filed under: Bacillus sp. Sh3(2013)
Lineage: Bacteria; Bacillati; Bacillota; Bacilli; Caryophanales; Bacillaceae
Description: bacterial SSU rRNA
Rfam family: Bacterial small subunit ribosomal RNA
Source: RNAcentral
GGCGGACGCUGCUAUACUGCAGUCGAGCGGACAGAAAGGGAGCUUGCUCCUGGACGUUAGCGGCGGACGGGUGAGUAACACGUGGGCAACCUGCCCCUUAGACUGGGAUAACUCCGGGAAACCGGAGCUAAUACCGGAUAAUCCCUUUCUCCACCUGGAGAGAGGGUGAAAGAUGGCUUCGGCUAUCACUAGGGGAUGGGCCCGCGGCGCAUUAGCUAGUUGGUAAGGUAACGGCUUACCAAGGCAACGAUGCGUAGCCGACCUGAGAGGGUGAUCGGCCACACUGGGACUGAGACACGGCCCAGACUCCUACGGGAGGCAGCAGUAGGGAAUCUUCCGCAAUGGACGAAAGUCUGACGGAGCAACGCCGCGUGAGUGAGGAAGGCCUUCGGGUCGUAAAGCUCUGUUGUGAGGGAAGAAGCGGUACCGUUCGAAUAGGGCGGUACCUUGACGGUACCUCACCAGAAAGCCACGGCUAACUACGUGCCAGCAGCCGCGGUAAUACGUAGGUGGCAAGCGUUGUCCGGAAUUAUUGGGCGUAAAGCGCGCGCAGGCGGCUUCUUAAGUCUGAUGUGAAAUCUCGGGGCUCAACCCCGAGCGGCCAUUGGAAACUGGGGAGCUUGAGUGCAGAAGAGGAGAGUGGAAUUCCACGUGUAGCGGUGAAAUGCGUAGAGAUGUGGAGGAACACCAGUGGCGAAGGCGACUCUCUGGUCUGUAACUGACGCUGAGGCGCGAAAGCGUGGGGAGCAAACAGGAUUAGAUACCCUGGUAGUCCACGCCGUAAACGAUGAGUGCUAGGUGUUAGGGGUUUCGAUGCCCGUAGUGCCGAAGUUAACACAU